UAGUCUCGCACAGAUGCAUAUCAAUAAGCGGAGGAAAAGAAACUAACAAGGAUUCCCUUAGUAACGGCGAGUGAAGCGGGAAGAGCUCAAAUUUGAAAUCUUCAAGGUUUUACCUUGACGAAUUGUAGUUUAAAGAAGUGUUUUCUGUUGAAGUUUUGGUAAAAGUUCUUUGGAAUAGGACAUCAUAGAGGGUGAGAAUCCCGUAUUUGACCAUUAUUUUCAGCUGUGUGAUACACUUUCAAAGAGUCGGAUUGUCUGGGAAUGCAGUCCAAAAUGGGUGGUAAAUUUCAUCUAAAGCUAAAUAUUGGCGAGAGACCGAUAGCGAACAAGUACCGUGAGGGAAAGAUGAAAAGAACUUUGAAAAGAGAGUUAAACAGUACGUGAAGUUGUCAAAAGGGAAGCGUUUGACACCAGUGUUGUUUUCUCGAAAAUCAAUUAAAAAGAGUUUGAUUUUGUUGUGUAUUGACCUUAACAGCUUGCAUUUCAAUUUUCUUGCUUUUUUUAAUGCACUUUUCGUUUAACAAGUCAACAUCAGUUUCUUUUGUUGUAAAAAGGUCAUUGGAAGGUGGCUUUCUUUUCGGAGAAAGUGUUUAUAGCCUUUGACUCCUGCAAUCGGAGAGACUGAGGUCUGCAGCGUAGAUCCUUCGGGGUUAGAUACAUUUGUGCUAAGUUAUAGCUUUUUAUAGACAACUUGUUGACUAUGAUUAGUCUUGUAGCUUACUCGCUUAUGCUAUUUUACCUACGCUUAGGAUGUUGAGCGCAUGUCUCUCUCU
This 773-nucleotide ribosomal RNA is filed under the name uncultured Neocallimastigales. Its description in RNAcentral is "partial large subunit ribosomal RNA". It matches the Rfam family "Eukaryotic large subunit ribosomal RNA", at positions 24 to 616 of the family's 3401-position model. The record is from RNAcentral. Lineage: Eukaryota; Fungi; Neocallimastigomycota; Neocallimastigomycetes; Neocallimastigales.